This 253-nucleotide ribosomal RNA is filed under the name uncultured bacterium. Its description in RNAcentral is "partial 16S ribosomal RNA". It matches the Rfam family "Bacterial small subunit ribosomal RNA", at positions 524 to 776 of the family's 1533-position model. The record is from RNAcentral.
UACGAACCGUCCAAACGUUAUUCGGAAUCACUGGGCUUACAGAGUUCGUAGGCGGCGGAGAAAGUAGGGUGUGAAAGCCCUCGGCUUAACCGAGGAAUUGCGCCCUAAACUACUUCGCUUGAGGAGGCUAGAGGUGAGCGGAACUGAUGGUGGAGCGGUGAAAUGCGUUGAUAUCAUCAGGAACACCGGAGGCGAAGGCGGCUCACUGGGACCUUUCUGACGCUGAGGAACGAAAGCUAGGGUAGCGAACGGG